CUUGUCUCAAAAAUAUAAAUAUAAAUGUUAAUAAUGCAAGCUCAUAAAAUCCAUUUUUCAGUUUAUAUAUAUAUUCCUUUACAAAACAUAAAAACGUCUGCAGUUCCACUCCAAAAAGGUUGUGUCCAGACAGUGAAGCUAAAUGAAUGUCUGUAGUUCUCAAGAUUCCCAGGAGAUGGCACCAUAUUAGUGAGUAACAGCUCAACAACAUCCAGACUAAGGUAGUACUAAGGAAGAAGAAAAAUAUACCAUUGAAAGUUUAUUUUUUGGCACGUUUUUCCUUCUUUGUUUUUUUUGUUGUCAGUCCUCUUCAAAAUCACCUCAUCAUAGCAUACCCUUAAAAACUCUGAACGUCUGAAAAGGGAAAAGAGGACAGAGUGUAUAACUGGAUGAAACGGGGAGCAGAGGGCCAGUGCUUCUGGUCAUGGAGAGAGUCAUAGAGAGGUGUUGUAGAGCAAAUGGUAAUACUGUAAUUGUCUGUGUCUCUGUCUCCCAUUAAAGCCACAGCCCAAACCCUGCCCACUGCCGAUUCCCCCACACACACAGACAGGGGCUACACAUGAACAGACAGAAUGUAAUAAAUAAAAAUUGAAGUUCUCCCCAGUAUAUUCUCUCUCUCUCUCUCUAAUAGAUAUCAAAGGGUCCUGUAAUGAUUAUACAUCUGGAUUUCAGUGUGUGCACCACGUGUGUGACACAGCCACUGCCAGGAAUCUCUGAUGUAAUUAAGGCUACAGCGGACCACCUUUGAGGGUUUGAACAACUUACACGCACACCUACCACCUACCACACACAUACACACCCAGCACACAUACAUACACACACUACCACACACACACACACACAGCAGAGAGGGGGUUGUGUACAGAGAGUCAGGGUGUUCCUCCAGUCACAGCAUACAUGCACUGUAAUGAUGGGUGGCUGUAAUGCUAGCACCUUGUUUUGUGCAAAUCAUCUCCUAGUUCAUAGAAAAUAAUAAAAAUCGGAUCACACCUUUUUUCCUAGGUGGUUAACUAUGCAUAUAUGCCAAACAUUCAUAUAUAUAUAUAUAUAUCUAUAGAAUUUUUGAUUUUCAAA
Molecule: long non-coding RNA, 1074 nt
Filed under: Salmo salar (Atlantic salmon)
Lineage: Eukaryota; Metazoa; Chordata; Actinopteri; Salmoniformes; Salmonidae
Description: lncRNA (ENSSSAG00000101468.1)
Source: RNAcentral